UUUGCGCGAGUACGUGAGGGCGAGGGUGGGUGGCGGUAGCGAAGGGGAAAACACAGACUUUCGAUCUCGCUUCCUUCUCUUUCGCUUUUCUCCGCGUUUUCGCAGGCUCGUUCGCCUUUUCCUGCCCCCGAAGAAGGGUCAGCCACAGGAAGAGCGUGGGGGAGGCGCACGCGCACAGCCUUGUGCGCGUGCACUUCUUUUGGACACCAGCAGUGUUGCCUAUACCACCCUCUCUCUGUUCAGGUGGCCCCCUAACACUCCCCCACCCUUCUCCUUGCUACAGGCCCAUCGGCUGCCGGGCAGCGGAGCAUUCCACGCGUGCAACAAGCGGUUUUACACACACGCACACACACAUCCCCCCUCCUCCCCUUAGGCACAAGAUGCAGACGCCAGCGGCCGCUAACACGAGCGCCAGCCCGGCCCCCGUCCUGAACAACAAGUCAACUGGACGAAGUAUUUCGUACGAGGAAAUCUACAAGGCCGCCAAGUGCAGUGUGCUAACGGACUUCUAUCGCGAGAAGCGCUAUCUUGAUCUGCGCCGCCGCAUCGCAGAGAGAGGCGAGGACGUGCAGCUGAUUCCCGUAGCCUCUGGCGCUGAUGCGACCUCGCCGGCACUGGUGCGGGCGAGCACCUCGCGCCUGCUGAAGGAGCACGGCAGCGCGUCGUGGAGUGCUUCCCUCUACCAGUCCGGCGUAUACGGACUGACAGGCAUUAGCUCGAUUUGCACGGCGAUCGCGCUCUACCUCGGCAUCUAUCAGAAUCGGCUUGUCCUACCCGUUGUUCCCAUGGGGGUUGCGGCGACGUGGCGCCUGUGGGGGGUGCUCGAGGAUGUCUGGAACGAGCAACGCUACAUCGACAACGCGGCGAAGAUGCGGGAGGAGCGGCAAGGCAACCCGCUGAACGCCGUCGUGAAGCGACGUCGCAAGCUGGACGCGACUGCAAAGGAAGGGUCACCCGCCGCAGAAUUGAUGGAGUAGAACAGCAGCAGCCGGGACAGGGGGCUGCUGGGGAGAGACAUUUGCGGACUUGUGUGUGUGGCUCUUGUUGUUGUCUCACAUCGAUUCUGAAUGUCUGCGUAGCUGCGUGUGCCCUCCUUGUCGGUCAUGUGUGCGCGCCUUCAGGCACAGAGGCGCGUGCUUUUCCAUCUGCGCCUCCCUGGGGCCAGAGCAAGAGCGCGUGUCAUUCGCUUACACACCUAUAUAUACCUAUAACGAAACGGAUAGUCAUGCGCACCGAUUGGCCAUCCAUUCGCUGCCUCCUCAUCUGUUUUUUUUUUUUUUUGUGUGUGUGUGUGGCGUUGUGGCGGCAAGGCUGUACCCCGAGCAUGUCAUGUGCUCCUUCCGCCACCACCAUCACCAAGACGGAACGCCUGCGCCGGCGUGUUAUGGUUUCGGCACCCCGUCCCCCCGUGUCGGCUGACCUGAGCGUAGAUUAGGGGGUGCUCAGAUGCGUCCCACACACUUUGUCGAUCAUUCUCACUCUCUCUCUCUUCUUCUGCUUCUGCUUCUCUCUCCAUGCGUGCACACAUAUGUGCGUGCGUGUGUGCGUGCGUGUGGCCCCGUGCACGUAAUGUUGGUGGGUGGUGGUGGUUAG
RNAcentral lists this unclassified non-coding RNA (1593 nucleotides) under Leishmania donovani. RNAcentral's name for it is "gene:LdHU3.13.0600(CDS-product:hypothetical_prote in_conserved)". Lineage: Eukaryota; Euglenozoa; Kinetoplastea; Trypanosomatida; Trypanosomatidae. The record is from RNAcentral.